AGCGAACGUUAGCGGCACGCCUAACACAUGCAAGUCGCACGAGAAAGGGAGCAAUCCUGAGUAGAGUGGCGCACGGGUGCGUAACACGUAGAUAACCUGCCCUUUGGAGGGGGAUAACGUUCCGAAAGGAGCGCUAAUGCCGCAUACAGCAAGAGCCGGUUUGCCGGUUUUUGGCAAAGGUAGGGACCCGCAAGGGCCUACCGCCAGAGGAGGGGUCUGCGGCCCAUCAGCUAGUUGGGAGGUAAUGGCUCACCAAGGCAGAGACGGGUAGCUGGUCUGAGAGGAUGAUCAGCCACACUGGUACUGGAACACGGACCAGACUCCUACGGGAGGCAGCAGUGGGGAAUCUUGGUCAAUGGGCGCAAGCCUGAACCAGCGAUGCCGCGUGAGUGAUGACGGCCU
RNAcentral lists this ribosomal RNA (402 nucleotides) under uncultured bacterium. Its description in RNAcentral is "bacterial SSU rRNA". It matches the Rfam family "Bacterial small subunit ribosomal RNA", at positions 29 to 417 of the family's 1533-position model. The record is from RNAcentral.